RNAcentral lists this ribosomal RNA (560 nucleotides) under uncultured Anoxybacillus sp. Its description in RNAcentral is "bacterial SSU rRNA". It matches the Rfam family "Bacterial small subunit ribosomal RNA", at positions 52 to 594 of the family's 1533-position model. Lineage: Bacteria; Bacillati; Bacillota; Bacilli; Caryophanales; Anoxybacillaceae. The record is from RNAcentral.
UACAUGCAGUCGAGCGGACCGAAUAGAAGCUUGCUUCUAUUUGGUUAGCGGCGGACGGGUGAGUAACACGUGGGCAACCUGCCCUGUAGACGGGGAUAACACCGAGAAAUCGGUGCUAAUACCGGAUAAUACGGAAUGUCGCAUGACGUUUCGUUGAAAGGCGGCGCAAGCUGUCGCUACAGGAUGGGCCCGCGGCGCAUUAGCUAGUUGGUGAGGUAACGGCUCACCAAGGCGACGAUGCGUAGCCGACCUGAGAGGGUGAUCGGCCACACUGGGACUGAGACACGGCCCAGACUCCUACGGGAGGCAGCAGUAGGGAAUCUUCCGCAAUGGACGAAAGUCUGACGGAGCAACGCCGCGUGAGCGAAGAAGGCCUUCGGGUCGUAAAGCUCUGUUGUUAGGGAAGAACAAGUAGCGCAGUAACUGGCGUUACUUUGACGGUACCUAACGAGGAAGCCACGGCUAACUACGUGCCAGCAGCCGCGGUAAUACGUAGGUGGCAAGCGUUGUCCGGAAUUAUUGGGCGUAAAGCGCGCGCAGGCGGUUCCUUAAGUCUGAUG